Long non-coding RNA from Octopus bimaculoides (California two-spot octopus), 1252 nucleotides. The record is from RefSeq and is a predicted model, not a curated record. Lineage: Eukaryota; Metazoa; Mollusca; Cephalopoda; Octopoda; Octopodidae.
UAUCUUCGUAUUAUUUCUUUUUUUCUUUCUCUAUGGAUAAAUGGGAAAUAAAUAAUCAAAAAAUAUAUCAUACACAAAAUUAAUAAUAAUAAUAAUAAUAAUAAUAAUAAUAACAGCAGCAUAAGCGAGUUACCUACGUGGAAAACUAUCAUAUUUUUUCCUAUGGAAUUGAAAACUGGAAAAGGACAUCUUACGGACAUCGUUAGAGACAACAACAAUUAUAAAAACAGGAAAGAUAUCAACAGUGAAUGUAACGCAAGUGACCCUCACCACUGAAUGAGAGACAACAAUAAUAACAACAACAAUAGCAAGCUUAAGCAGCAAACAAAAUUCUCUCUGCCAGAAGAAGAAGAAGCAAGCUAUGAAGAAGAAUUGACUGAUAUCUGUUCGAUAUUUGUUUUUCAUCUUAAAAUGGCCGACAACGACUAGUUGAUCACACUCUAAUAUAUCCUCGUCGUCGUUGCCAUAUAAUGGAGCUGUUGUGAUUGCCAAGAGAGAGAGAGAGAGAGAGAGAGAGAGAGAGAGAGAGAGAAUAUAAUAACGAUCGUUGAUGGCUGCUCCAUCGUCUGCUAGGGAUGACAAAAACGACGGACUUGUUAGGUUUAAACCUUCAGCAGCAGACCUUAGGCGUUCAGUGAAUUAAAACUGUCUGCACGGAAACGAAGAAUUCAAAGUAAGUGGCUUUCUCGCCGUCAUCGUCUUCGUCACCACCAUCAUCAUCAUCAUCGUCGUCGGCGUUGUUGUCUUCGUCUUCAUCAUCAUCAAUUCACACGUUUAUGUUUUAUAUGUAUAUGGUAUAUAUACAUACAUACAUACAUACGUACGUACGUACUUAUAUAUAUACAAACACACGCGCCUGUAAUAUAUAUAUAUAUAUAUAUAUUACUCUUUUACAUGUUUCAAUCAUUUGACUGCGGCCAUGCUGGAUCACCGCCUAAAAGAGUGUUUUAGUCGAAGGAAUCAACCCCAGAACUUAUUCUUUGUAAGCCUUUUUACUUACUCUAUCGGUAUCAGCAAAAGGGACCGAUAGAAUAAGUACUAGGCUUACAAAGAAUAAGUCCUGCGAUCGAUUUGUUCGACUGAAGGUGGUGCGCCAACAUGGCCGCAGUCAAAUGACUGAAACAAGUAAAAGAAUAUAUAUAUAUAAACACACACACACACACACAUUGCGUACUAUAUAUAUAUGGACAUACACUGCGCCUAUAUACAUACAUACAUACAUAUAUAUAUAUAUAUAUAUGUAUGUAUGUAU